AACGAACGCUGGCGGCGUGGAUAAGACAUGCAAGUCGAACGGGAUUAUUUUUGUAGCAAUACAGAAAUAAUUCAGUGGCGAACGGGUGCGUAACACGUGGGCAAUCUGCCGAAAAGUGGGGGAUAGCUCGCCGAAAGGCGAAUUAAUACCGCAUGUGGUGAGGGAUGACAUCUUCCUGAAUCCAAAGCCGGGGUCAAACCUGGCGCUUUUUGAGGAGCCCGCGGCCUAUCAGCUAGUUGGUGGGGUGAUGGCCUACCAAGGCGACGACGGGUAGCCGGCCUGAGAGGGCGACCGGCCACACUGGGACUGAGACACGGCCCAGACUCCUACGGGAGGCAGCAGUGGGAAUCUUGCGCAAUGGGCGAAAGCCUGACGCAGCGACGCCGCGUGAGGGAUGGCGGCCUGGUGUAAC
Molecule: ribosomal RNA, 412 nt
Filed under: uncultured bacterium
Lineage: Bacteria
Description: bacterial SSU rRNA
Rfam family: Bacterial small subunit ribosomal RNA
Source: RNAcentral